CCGUCGAUAGCUCAGUUGGUAGAGCGGUGGACUGUAGAAACGAGUAACAAUAAAAGAGAAAGGUGUUACACUUACGUAAAAGAGGUAUCCAUAGGUCGCUGGUUCAACUCCGGCUCGACGGA
Transfer RNA from Daphnia magna, 122 nucleotides. It matches the Rfam family "tRNA". From Rfam's summary of the family: Transfer RNA (tRNA) molecules are approximately 80 nucleotides in length. Their secondary structure includes four short double-helical elements and three loops (D, anti-codon, and T loops). Lineage: Eukaryota; Metazoa; Arthropoda; Branchiopoda; Diplostraca; Daphniidae. The record is from Rfam.